Long non-coding RNA from Phyllopteryx taeniolatus (common seadragon), 680 nucleotides. RefSeq lists it as uncharacterized. NCBI's taxonomy places the organism in Eukaryota, Metazoa, Chordata, Actinopteri, Syngnathiformes, Syngnathidae. The record is from RefSeq and is a predicted model, not a curated record. The transcript has 4 exons.
UGGCCUCACGUGAUGUGUAUAUUUGUCGUUAGUGUCAACAUAUCGUGACUGAGCAACAUCCCUGCAAACACAAGGAAAGUAGUGUGUUGCGGGAUUUCUUUGAAGCACAAGCCACUCAAUCAAGCAAGCUCCACUCCCCUUGAUGUUUGCUCUCCAGCUCUCCUGCCGUUCGUGAGUUACGUUUUUCCGUAGCGAAAGGCGGAAAAUUACCUCCAAAUGUUUGGCCGCCCGUCAAAAGAAAGCAGCGGGAAUCCGGAGAAAGGAAGGAGUACUUUGAAUACAAAUAUGACUGCUGUUUGACCUUUUUAUCACUACUUACAUGUUUUAAGAGACUUUGGUAAAAGUUGUCACACAGUAUAAUUUUCCAGGAAGUUUUCAUUUGGUCAAAUUGAACCACCAUUGGGUUAUACGACUUGCCUGGUAUGAAGUACUAUUAUGUACUAAGUACUUGGUGGAAUUGUGCUGUCUUGUGGGACGAAGGCUUUGACCCAGUGCAAUAAAAUCCCGCAGAAGCUGAGUCGCUUCUACUACAAGGUCACCUUUAAGGUAAAACCCCAGCUACACCAUCAGCGCCUCCAGCAGAAGAGUCUCCGAGUUAACCUAAAGCUUCUACGAGUCAAGUGAGAGCCUCUCCUCCGCCACCAACGCAAGCCUCUCGCCUCUCUCAGAAGGCAAUGUUG